This 651-nucleotide long non-coding RNA is filed under the name Homo sapiens (human). Its description in RNAcentral is "HSALNT0148004". Lineage: Eukaryota; Metazoa; Chordata; Mammalia; Primates; Hominidae. The record is from RNAcentral.
GUUAAAAUGUGACAUGAAAUCUCGCUAUUAUAUUUGGACUAGAAGAGCUGCAAAGAGCAUUUUCUGUUCAAAUCGCCUAGGAUUAAGUCUCCUCAUGUAGUAGAAUCAAAGUCCUGGCUUCCUCCUCAAGGAGCAUCUCAUAACAAAAGCAUCCAGAGUUCGGGCUGCUUUGGAGGAGCUUCACAGGGAAUUUAACAGAAUGCAGGGUGGAAUGAGAUUUCCUGUAGACGUGACAUGCAAGAAAGCCCGUGAAGGUCGUGGUGCAUCACCUAACACAGCAGUUCACAAGGUAUGGCCCACAAAUCUUUGUGCAUCCCUAAGACUCUUGCAAGGAGUCCUUUCAGUGGAAACUAUUUUCCUAAUAAUACUAAGACAUUAUUUAGCCUUUUCUCUCUGUUGAUAUUUGUACUGAUGGUGCACAGUCCAUGGUGUGACAAAAUGAGGAAUAUGCAUGAAGCAAGAACUUUUACUUUCUCAGAUAUUAUAAUUGUUGUAAGGAAAAGAAUUUGUACACUGAUAGUUUAAAUGAAGAUGAGAACUCACCCCUUUUUUCCUGGAACAUUAUUUUUACAUAAAAGAAUGACUGACUAACAGAAAAAUAUGGUUAUUCAAAGUUUGUGGGGAAAAGUAAGAGAGAUCAGAUUGUUACUG